UACGGGGGGGGCAAGCGUUGUUCGGAAUUACUGGGCGUAAAGGGCUCGUAGGCGGCCAACUAAGUCAGACGUGAAAUCCCUCGGCUUAACCGGGGAACUGCGUCUGAUACUGGAUGGCUUGAGUUUGGGAGAGGGAUGCGGAAUUCCAGGUGUAGCGGUGAAAUGCGUAGAUAUCUGGAGGAACACCGGUGGCGAAGGCGGCAUCCUGGACCAACACUGACGCUGAGGAGCGAAAGCCAGGGGAGCAAACAGG
This 253-nucleotide ribosomal RNA is filed under the name uncultured bacterium. Its description in RNAcentral is "partial 16S ribosomal RNA". It matches the Rfam family "Bacterial small subunit ribosomal RNA", at positions 524 to 776 of the family's 1533-position model. The record is from RNAcentral.